Molecule: long non-coding RNA, 154 nt
Organism: Penaeus monodon (black tiger shrimp)
Lineage: Eukaryota; Metazoa; Arthropoda; Malacostraca; Decapoda; Penaeidae
Exons: 2
Source: RefSeq, a predicted model, not a curated record
AGGUCGUGGCGAGGGAAGGAGGGUCGUGUCGCUCGCCCAAGAAGUGUAAAGGUGUAAUAUAAUCGGAUGUUUCGUAUGUCAAAAAAUGCACGAGGGAGAUUCUUCGUCUGCGUGACUGUGGCGUGUGGACGUACCUAAUUUUUUUUUUUUUUAA